UGGGCCGUAACUGACGCUGAGGGACGAAAGCUAGGGGAGCGAAAGGGAUUAGAUACCCCUGUAGUCCUAGCUGUAAACGAUGGAUACUAGGUGUUGGACGUAUCGACCCGUUCAGUACCGCAGCCAACGCGAUAAGUAUCCCGCCUGGGGAGUACGCACGCAAGUGUGAAACUCAAAGGAAUUGACAGGGGCCCGCACAAGCGGUGGAGUAUGUGGUUUAAUUCGAUGCAACGCGAAGAACCUUACCAGGGCUUGACAUCCCCCGAAUCCUUGUGAAAGCGAGGAGUGCCUUCGGGAGCGGGGAGACAGGUGGUGCAUGGCUGUCGUCAGCUCGUGUCGUGAGAUGUUGGGUUAAGUCCCGCAACGAGCGCAACCCACGUCCUUAGUUGCCAUCAUUCAGUUGGGCACUCUGGGGAGACUGCCGGGGACAACUCGGAGGAAGGUGUGGAUGACGUCAAGUCAUCAUGCCCCUUACGUUCUGGGCUACACACGUACUACAAUGCUUCGGACAAAGGGCAGCCAACUAGCGAUAGUGAGCUAAUCCCAUAAACCGAGGCACAGUUCAGAUUGCAGGCUGCAACUCGCCUGCAUGAAGGAGGAAUCCCUAGUAAGUGCAAGUCAUCAGCUUGCGCUGAUUACGUCCCUGCCCUUUGCACUCACCGCCCGUC
This 668-nucleotide ribosomal RNA is filed under the name uncultured bacterium. Its description in RNAcentral is "bacterial SSU rRNA". It matches the Rfam family "Bacterial small subunit ribosomal RNA", at positions 730 to 1398 of the family's 1533-position model. The record is from RNAcentral.